This 497-nucleotide ribosomal RNA is filed under the name uncultured bacterium. Its description in RNAcentral is "partial 16S ribosomal RNA". It matches the Rfam family "Bacterial small subunit ribosomal RNA", at positions 28 to 507 of the family's 1533-position model. The record is from RNAcentral.
GACGAACGCUGGCGGCGUGCCUAAUACAUGCAAGUAGAACGCUGAAGAGAGGAGCUUGCUCUUCUUGGAUGAGUUGCGAACGGGUGAGUAACGCGUAGGUAACCUGCCUUGUAGCGGGGGAUAACUAUUGGAAACGAUAGCUAAUACCGCAUAACAAUGGAUGACACAUGUCAUUUAUUUGAAAGGGGCAAUUGCUCCACUACAAGAUGGACCUGCGUUGUAUUAGCUAGUAGGUGAGGUAAUGGCUCACCUAGGCGACGAUACAUAGCCGACCUGAGAGGGUGAUCGGCCACACUGGGACUGAGACACGGCCCAGACUCCUACGGGAGGCAGCAGUAGGGAAUCUUCGGCAAUGGGGGCAACCCUGACCGAGCAACGCCGCGUGAGUGAAGAAGGUUUUCGGAUCGUAAAGCUCUGUUGUAAGUCAAGAACGGGUGUGAGAGUGGAAAGUUCACACUGUGACGGUAGCUUACCAGAAAGGGGCGGCUAACUACGUG